GCAGGGGUCGGCCAGUGUUGAGUCUAAUGAAAGCAGAUAUGAUAUUGGACAAGUCUUUGAUGGGCCCAGGGAAGAAAGUCUUGCUGAUGAGUCGUCCCUUGAAACUUUGCAGAAUGAAGCUGGAGGACAAAGUAGUCUACAAGAAUCUGGUGAAGUAUCUUAUGAACGUUCUUUCCAAGAUGGUGAGAGAAGUAGGACCUCUUGGUUAACGAAUAUUGUACAAAAUGUAGAAAGGGUUCCUGUUGAUCAUAUUGAUGGCCAAGAACCUGCUUCUCAAGCUGAACAAUGGCAGGAAGAGGAUCAGGAAACUGAGGAUGCAGACUGGCAGGAAGCUAGUGUGGACCAUAACG
RNAcentral lists this long non-coding RNA (350 nucleotides) under Gossypium barbadense (sea-island cotton). RNAcentral's name for it is "long non-coding RNA (GBAR_LNC006107)". The record is from RNAcentral. Lineage: Eukaryota; Viridiplantae; Streptophyta; Magnoliopsida; Malvales; Malvaceae.